UGCAGCGCUUUCGAGCAGCACCGCCACCUCUGCCACGAGAUCAUCCAGCAGCAGAGGCAGUUCAUCAUCGAGCACAGCCUGCUGGUCCCCUCUCCGCUCCAGGACCUGUAUGAAGUGUACAUACGGGAGCUGGACGAGGGGAACCUGGACCGCGCCGUGGCUCUGGACAAAGUCACCAUCGGACAGCCCACCAGGGAGGGCUCCCUACCAAAGAUCACCGUGCCCGGCCGCGGCCGCGCCCCUUCACGGACCUGGACUCGGACCAGGACAGCGGGCGCACCGACGGCUCCGGCACCAGGAGGGGCCAGGCCAAGCUCCGCAGGCACACCCUGCCGCCGAUCCUCCCCGACCCGAGAGGUAGGGCCGCCACGUAACACAACACCGCUGGGUCGGAUAGAAACAAGAUAAAGGCCCUUUGAAUAAAGGGCUGGUCCCAUUAUGGCCAUUAUGUUGUUGUCGUGUUAUAUUGCCGUCUAUUAGUCUCUCAACCAGGGGUGCUCUGCUCUCUGUCCUCCUCUUUCUACCAGUGACAAUAAUCAAGUGUUAAAGAAUAGCCCCCAUGCCAGGCAGAUGAAGAGCUCUGCUGUGAUGACGCCCCCGCCCAUCCACAUCAACGGGCAUGGAAACAGAGAGCUGCAGCCGCUGGCCCCCAGACGGCUGCCUGAGCUACGCCCGGCUCAGCUACAGCGUCAGCAGCCACCUGGACUCGUCCCCCGAGAGCAGCGAGAUCGGCACCGACCGCCCCGCUGUCCUACAAGGAGCGGCAGCAGAUCCUCCGGGGCGUCAGAACAUCGCAGUGAAGGCGGCCCACCGCCGCACCAAGGCCCUGGAGGGGGACGCGCUGCACCUGCCCCCCCCCCCCUCGCCCCUGGACCCCCAGAAGCAGAAGAGCACCCUGUCCCUGCUGAGCGAGGCCGCGGCGCCGCCCGCCGGGGCCCGCCCGCGCGCCGGGCCGCCGGCCCAGCCCCGAGCUGCGGCACGCCACCUCGGACGACACCCUGUCCAGCAGCACGGGCGAGGGGCCCCCCGCCCCCCAGGGCACCUGGACCCGCCAGCGCUUCCGCGCGCCCGCCGCCAAGAACCCCACGCCGCGCGAGCCCGACUUUGAGGCCCGCCGCAGGAAGCGCCGCUCCCGCUCCUUCGAGGUCACGGGUCAGGCACUGCCUCAGCCCAAGACCCACGCCGCCCAGAGGUUCCGCCCCCUGGACAGCACGUCGGACCCCCACCUCCACAUCAACGGACAGCCCCAGCCCCCAUGCUCCGCCCCCAGCUCCGGGGAGUUCCUCCGCUCACCAAAGUCAGGGGGUCCCAAAGCACCCAGCAAACCGGCACCAUCGCAGAGUCCUCCACAGUCCCCCUGACCAACCUGAAGAGGGUGUCCCAGCUGAGGCAGCCGCUCCUCUACAUCACAUCCGGGGCCCAGCGAACACGCAGGCACUGAGCGGCGUGACCCCCGUCCUCCCGUCCCCCCCAUCGCCCAUCACACACGUCAAAAAAUAG
Molecule: long non-coding RNA, 1500 nt
Filed under: Gadus morhua (Atlantic cod)
Lineage: Eukaryota; Metazoa; Chordata; Actinopteri; Gadiformes; Gadidae
Description: lncRNA (ENSGMOG00000030872.1)
Source: RNAcentral